CCAGCAGCCGCGGUAAUUCCA
Molecule: non-coding RNA, 21 nt
Filed under: Arabidopsis thaliana (thale cress)
Lineage: Eukaryota; Viridiplantae; Streptophyta; Magnoliopsida; Brassicales; Brassicaceae
Source: RNAcentral